Molecule: long non-coding RNA, 474 nt
Organism: Limulus polyphemus (Atlantic horseshoe crab)
Lineage: Eukaryota; Metazoa; Arthropoda; Merostomata; Xiphosura; Limulidae
Exons: 3
Source: RefSeq, a predicted model, not a curated record
GCUAUAGUAUAGUCAAAUUGAAAAGGACUUUUUCUAAAUAUUGUUCAAGAAUACUGAAGCGAACAGAUCACCCAUCUGCUUUUAUAAACUGCUCAAGAUUUUACAAAUGAAAGAAAGAUGAGAUCAACCUCUCUUUUCAGAACAAUUCUUCGUUAUAGAACAACUGGAGCUUUCGAAGUCGGACAUGAAAUAUUAUUGAUGUAAACAGACAACAGCGGUGUGUGUGCUGGGUCAUGUACACUCUCAGACUAGGCGUGACCUGAUGGUUAGUGUGCCCGGACUAUGAAUCAGAGGAUUGACGGUUCGCAUCUGUUGCCGCAUAAACGUGCUGUAAACAAUACAAGAUUGACGUUCUAGUCUCAAUAAUCGGUCAGGCAAGAGUAACCAAAGGUUAGCGGCGUGUUCUGCCAGUUCACGCUCACUCCGCUCGUUCUGGUGGUGCGAAACAAUUCCUAUACAUUCAAGGCGCAGUCC